AUACGGAGGGUGCAAGCGUUAUUCGGAAUCACUGGGCGUAAAGGACGCGUAGGCGGGGUGGAAAGUCAGGUGUGAAAGCCUACAGCUUAACUGUAGAACUGCACUUGAAACUCUCACCCUAGAGUAUGGGAGGGGCAGAUGGAAUUAGUGGUGUAGGGGUAAAAUCCGUAGAUAUCACUAGGAAUACCGAAAGCGAAGGCGAUCUGCUGGAACAUAACUGACGCUAAGGCGUGAAAGCGUGGGGAGCAAACAGGAUUAGAUACCCCAGUAGUCC
RNAcentral lists this ribosomal RNA (274 nucleotides) under uncultured bacterium. RNAcentral describes it as "partial 16S ribosomal RNA". It matches the Rfam family "Bacterial small subunit ribosomal RNA", at positions 523 to 796 of the family's 1533-position model. The record is from RNAcentral.